GACGAACGCUGGCGGCGUGCUUAACACAUGCAAGUCGAACGGAAAGGCCCUGCUUUUGUGGGGUGCUCGAGUGGCGAACGGGUGAGUAACACGUGAGUAACCUGCCCUUGACUUUGGGAUAACUUCAGGAAACUGGGGCUAAUACCGGAUAGGAGCUCCUGCUGCAUGGUGGGGGUUGGAAAGUUUCGGCGGUUGGGGAUGGACUCGCGUCUUAUCAGCUUGUUGGUGGGGUAGUGGCUUACCAAGGCUUUGACGGGUAGCCGGCCUGAGAGGGUGACCGGCAACAUUGGGACUGAGAUACGGCCCAGACUCCUACGGGAGGCAGCAGUGGGGAAUAUGGCACAAUGGGCGGAAGCCUGAUGCAGCAACGCCGCGUGCGGGAUGACGGCCUACGGGUUGUAAACCGCUUUCGCCUGUGACGAAGCGUGAGUGACGGUAAUGGGUAAAGAAGCACCGGCUAACUACGUG
Molecule: ribosomal RNA, 468 nt
Filed under: uncultured bacterium
Lineage: Bacteria
Description: partial 16S ribosomal RNA
Rfam family: Bacterial small subunit ribosomal RNA
Source: RNAcentral